GACGAACGCUGGCGGCGUGCUUAACACAUGCAAGUCGAACGCGCCUGUCCUCUGGGUUUCUGGGGGGUGGGUGAGUGGCGAACGGGUGAGUAACACGUGAGUAACCUGCCCCCUUCUUCGGGAUAACGGUCUGAAAGGGCUGCUAAUACCGGGUAUUCACUGGUCUCCGCAUGGGGUCUGGUGGAAAGGUUUUUUUCUGGUGGGGGAUGGGCUCGCGGCCUAUCAGCUUGUUGGUGGGGUGAUGGCCCACCAAGGCUUUGACGGGUAGCCGGCCUGAGAGGGUGAACGGUCACAUUGGGACGGAGAUACGGCCCAGACGCGUACGGGGGGCAGCAGUGGGGAAUAUGGCACAAUGGGCGCAAGCCUGAUGCAGCGACGCCGCGGGAGGGAUGGAGGCCGUCGGGUUGUGAACCUCUUUCGCCCGUGGUCAAGCCGCGACGUGGGUCGUGGUGAGGGUAGUGGGUAAAGAAGCGCCGGCUAACUACGUG
Molecule: ribosomal RNA, 488 nt
Filed under: uncultured bacterium
Lineage: Bacteria
Description: partial 16S ribosomal RNA
Rfam family: Bacterial small subunit ribosomal RNA
Source: RNAcentral